UGAGGUGUGGUUCAGUGGUAGAGCACCUGCCUAGCAGGCAUGAGGCCCUGGAUGCUAUCUCCAGCACUGCCA
RNAcentral lists this transfer RNA (72 nucleotides) under Cricetulus griseus (Chinese hamster). It matches the Rfam family "tRNA". Rfam says of the family: Transfer RNA (tRNA) molecules are approximately 80 nucleotides in length. The record is from Rfam by way of RNAcentral. Lineage: Eukaryota; Metazoa; Chordata; Mammalia; Rodentia; Cricetidae.